RNAcentral lists this ribosomal RNA (426 nucleotides) under uncultured prokaryote. Its description in RNAcentral is "bacterial SSU rRNA". It matches the Rfam family "Bacterial small subunit ribosomal RNA", at positions 355 to 774 of the family's 1533-position model. The record is from RNAcentral.
UAGGGAAUAUUAGAAAUGGACGAAAGUCUGAUCUAGCAACACCGCGUGUGCGAAGAAGGCCUUCGGGUUGUAAAAUCCUUUUGCUGGGGAAGAAUAAGUCCAGGAGGGAAUGCCUGGAUGAUGACAUGAACCGGCGAAUAAGUCCCGGCCAACUACGUGCCAGCAGCCGCGGUAACACGUAGGAGGCAAACGCUAUCCGGAUUUACUGGGCGUAAAGCGCGUGUAGGUGGUUCUGUAAGUAGGGCGUGAAAGCUCCUGGCUCAACUGGGAGAGGCCGUUCUAAACUGCAGAGCUAGAGGAUGGUAGAGGGAGGUGGAAUUCCGGGUGUAGCGGUGGAAUGCGCAGAUAUCCGGAGGAACACCAGUGGCGAAAGCGGCCUCCUGGACCAUUCCUGACACUCAGACGCGAAAGCUAGGGUAGCAAACG